RNAcentral lists this long non-coding RNA (914 nucleotides) under Brachypodium distachyon (stiff brome). RNAcentral describes it as "long non-coding RNA (BDIS_LNC000906)". Lineage: Eukaryota; Viridiplantae; Streptophyta; Magnoliopsida; Poales; Poaceae. The record is from RNAcentral.
CUGAAAAUUUUACUUACGGAUAUAAGAGACACUGUCUUUCAUUUAUAUAGAAGAAGAAAGAAAAUUCCGUACCUUGUUUUCCUUCAACUUUCAAAUGGGACAAAUUUUGUUCAUGUCCUGAUCCAAACCGAUAGUUUUGUCCAUGCGGCAUGUUUUUUCUCUAAACUCACCACCGUCGAAGGUUAUUUUGCCCCGAAUCGAAUCGCUGGCCUCGGUGGCAUCACGGCUGGAUCGAAGAAUAUCAUCUACCAAGGCGAGUUCAGGGAAUAAACGAGCCAUGUGCACAAAAAUACCACUUCGGGUUACACUGCUACAGAAAGGCUUAUCAGUAACGGUCGAAAAACAACAUCAGUAACGGUCGGGGCCGCGGUUACUAACUUCCUGCCAGUAAUGAUGGGUAUCAGGGCGACCGUUACUGAUUACCAUCAUCAGUGGCGGACGGACCGACCGUUACUGAUGAUACGCAUCAUCAGUGACGAUCACGUUUCCGCGCCCGCCACUGAUUAUUGGUACAUCAGUAACGGUCGCUUUGCCACAUCAAUGUCGGGCGAGCGACCGACACUGAUACAUUUUCAGUAAUUAAAAAAAUAAUUAAAACCACAAAAAAUACACAGAAAAAUAUAUAUAUUUGGCACAACAUAGCACAAAAAAUACACAUCCACAUCAUUUAAAGCAUACAAAUGUAUAUAAAGCCGCAUCAUUUAAAGCAUAUAAAGAAUACAAAUGUAUCUCACUUCACGACAUUGAUUACAAAGUGUCAAAAUUUCAUAGCAAAAUCAAGUUUGAAGCUAUUGUUGUGGGUGAACCUUAGUCACCACUUGUUCCACGCGUUCGUAGAAGUCCCCACUAAGCUUGAUGACCUCAUUGUUGAUGAGAUGGGCGAACUCCCUUUGAAUGUUAUACACGACCCAUUU